RNAcentral lists this ribosomal RNA (491 nucleotides) under uncultured bacterium. RNAcentral's name for it is "partial 16S ribosomal RNA". It matches the Rfam family "Bacterial small subunit ribosomal RNA", at positions 30 to 507 of the family's 1533-position model. The record is from RNAcentral.
AUUGAACGCUGGCGGCAUGCUUUACACAUGCAAGUCGAACGGUAACAGGCCUUCGGGUGCUGACGAGUGGCGAACGGGUGAGUAAUGCAUCGGAACGUACCCAGAGGUGGGGGAUAACGCAGCGAAAGCUGUGCUAAUACCGCAUGUGAUCUGAGGAUGAAAGCGGGGGACCGAGCAGCAAUGUUUGGCCUCGCGCCUUUGGAGCGGCCGAUGUCUGAUUAGCUAGUUGGUGGGUAAAGGCCUACCAAGGCGACGAUCCGUAGCUGGUCUGAGAGGACGACCAGCCACACUGGGACUGAGACACGGCCCAGACUCCUACGGGAGGCAGCAGUGGGGAAUUUUGGACAAUGGGCGCAAGCCUGAUCCAGCAAUGCCGCGUGCGGGAAGAAGGCCUUCGGGUUGUAAACCGCUUUUGGCAGGAACGAAACGGUGUCCGCUAAUACCGGGCGCUAAUGACGGUACCUGCAGAAUAAGCACCGGCUAACUACGUG